This 369-nucleotide ribosomal RNA is filed under the name uncultured bacterium. RNAcentral describes it as "bacterial SSU rRNA". It matches the Rfam family "Bacterial small subunit ribosomal RNA", at positions 527 to 896 of the family's 1533-position model. The record is from RNAcentral.
GAAGGGGGCUAGCGUUGUUCGGAAUUACUGGGCGUAAAGCGCACGUAGGCGGUUUUCCAAGUUGGAGGUGAAAUCCCUGGGCUUAACCCAGGAACUGCCCCCAAGACUGGAAGACUCGAGUCCGAGAGAGGUGAGUGGAAUUUCCAGUGUAGAGGUGAAAUUCGUAGAUAUUGGAAAGAACACCAGUGGCGAAGGCGGCUCACUGGCUCGGUACUGACGCUGAGGUGCGACAGCGUGGGGAGCAAACAGGAUUAGAUACCCUGGUAGUCCACGCCGUAAACGAUGGGUGCUAGUUGUCAGGCAGCUUGCUGCUUGGUGACGCAGCUAACGCAUUAAGCACCCCGCCUGGGGAGUACGGUCGCAAGAUUA